Molecule: long non-coding RNA, 433 nt
Organism: Vicia villosa (hairy vetch)
Lineage: Eukaryota; Viridiplantae; Streptophyta; Magnoliopsida; Fabales; Fabaceae
Exons: 3
Source: RefSeq, a predicted model, not a curated record
CCCCUCCUAAGAAGCAUGCAAUUUAUGGAAAAGAUAUAGAUAUUACUCCACUUGCAGAUCGAAGAUUUUCUGUCAUUGAAAGAGCAAAUAAUUGGACAGUUCAAUUGAGAAAACGAAAUGAUAAUCGAAUAGAUAUUAUUUGUACACAUUUACCAUCAAACAAGCAAUUUCGUUCGAAGCCUGAAGUGGCUAACUUUAUUCUUUAUGAAGCUCGCCCAAAACCUAAAAGCAAGUAGGAAAAGAAAAUUGGAAAUUCUAGUGGAUGCAAUGAGAAAGGUUCGACAUCAAAGAAAAGAAAAAAAGAAGAGAGAGAAACUUAUCAUGAUAUCCCUCUAGAGGAAGCAUGAACAAAUAUGAUGGAAUGGAUUGACUAAAGAAAUUAAGAAUAAAUGUGAAGAAUCAUCCCAGAGUGAAAAGCUUUUACAUUGAAUAA